UCGUCAGGUAGGAUAAUCCUUACCUGUUUCUCCUUUAUUGGAGAACAGAUUAGAACAUGAUGAUUGGAGUUCGCAUGAUUCGUGAUUAACGUCUCUGCGUAAUCAGGACUUGCAACACCCUGAUUGCUCCUAUCUGAU
This is a small nucleolar RNA of Pteronotus mesoamericanus, 138 nucleotides long. RefSeq annotates it as U8 small nucleolar RNA. Lineage: Eukaryota; Metazoa; Chordata; Mammalia; Chiroptera; Mormoopidae. The record is from RefSeq and is a predicted model, not a curated record. The transcript has a single exon.